CCUACGGGAGGCAGCAGUGAGGAAUAUUGGUCAAUGGCCGCGAGCCUGAACCAGCCAAGCCGCGUGAGGGACGACGGUGCCAAGCAUUGUAAACUUCUUUUGUCAGGGGACAAAAUCAGGCUCGAGAGCCUGACCGAGGGUACUUGAAGAAAAAGCAUCGGCUAACUCCGUGCCAGCAGCCGCGGUAAUACGGAGGAUGCGAGCGUUAUCCGGAUUUAUUGGGUUUAAAGGGUGCGUAGGCGGACGGUUAAGUCAGCGGUAAAAGCCCGGGGCUCAACCCCUGCGAGCCGUUGAAACUGGUUGUCUUGAGAGGGUGAGAGGUAUGCGGAAUGCGCAGUGUAGCGGUGAAAUGCAUAGAUAUCGCGCAGAACUCCGAUUGCGAAGGCAGCAUACCGGCGGCGAUCUGACGCUGAGGCACGAAAGCGUGGGUAUCGAACAGGAUUAGAUACCCGAGUAGUC
RNAcentral lists this ribosomal RNA (459 nucleotides) under uncultured bacterium. RNAcentral describes it as "partial 16S ribosomal RNA". It matches the Rfam family "Bacterial small subunit ribosomal RNA", at positions 338 to 795 of the family's 1533-position model. The record is from RNAcentral.